GAAUACAUAGAUAAUCUGCCUUCGAGUCGGGGAUAACCAGUCGAGAGACUGGCUAAUACCGGAUAAGACCACAAGAUCUGCGGAUCAAGGGGUUAAAGGUUUUUCGCUUGAAGAUGAGUCUAUGCGAGAUUAGCUAGUUGGUGAGGUAAUGGCUCACCAAGGCGACGAUCUCUAACUGGUCUUAGAGGAUGAUCAGUCACACUGGAACUGAGACACGGUCCAGACUCCUACGGGAGGCAGCAGUAGGGAAUAUUGCGCAAUGGGGGAAACCCUGACGCAGCGACGCCGCGUGAGUGAUGAAGGCCUUCGGGUCGUAAAGCUCUGUCGUAUGGGAAUAACACAAUGAAUGUACCAUGCAAGAAAGGAUCGGCUAACUUCGUGCCAGCAGCCGCGGUAAGACGAGGGAUCCUAGCGUUGUUCGGAAUCAUUGGGCGUAAAGCGGGUGUAGGUGGGCUUCUAAGUCAGAUGUGAAAUCCCAGGGCUCAACCCUGGAAGUGCAUUUGAUACUGGAAGUCUUGAGUGUGGUAGAGGUUACUGGAAUUGUUGGUGUAGUGGUGAAAUACGUAGAUAUCAACAGGAAUACCGGAGGCGAAGGCGAGUAACUGGGCCAACACUGACACUGAGACCCGAAAGCGUGGGGAUCAAACAGGAUUAGAUACCCUGGUAGUCCACGCCAUAAACGAUGGAUACUUGUUGUUAGAGGUAUUGACCCCUCUAGUGACGUAGCUAACGCGUUAAGUAUCCCGCCUGGGGAGUACGGUCGCAAGAUUAAAACUCAAAGAAAUUGACGGGGGCCCGCACAAGCGGUGGAGCAUGUGGUUUAAUUCGAUGCAACGCGAAGAACCUUACCUAGGCUUGACAUAAACUGGAAGAGUGGCAGAAAUGUCCUCGCUCGCAAGAGUCGAAAAACAGGUGCUGCAUGGCUGUCGUCAGCUCGUGUCGUGAGAUGUUGGGUUAAGUCCCGCAACGAGCGCAACCCUUACCUUUAGUUGUCAGCAUUUAGUUGGACACUCUAGAGGGACUGCCUGCGUUAAGCAGGAGGAAGGUGG
This 1049-nucleotide ribosomal RNA is filed under the name Bdellovibrio sp. Lanham. Its description in RNAcentral is "bacterial SSU rRNA". It matches the Rfam family "Bacterial small subunit ribosomal RNA", at positions 111 to 1176 of the family's 1533-position model. Lineage: Bacteria; Pseudomonadati; Bdellovibrionota; Bdellovibrionia; Bdellovibrionales; Pseudobdellovibrionaceae. The record is from RNAcentral.